AUCUAUUUGGCGAGUCCAAAAUAGGACGAAACGUGCGUCAAACUGGAU
This 48-nucleotide non-coding RNA is filed under the name Schistosoma margrebowiei. Lineage: Eukaryota; Metazoa; Platyhelminthes; Trematoda; Strigeidida; Schistosomatidae. The record is from RNAcentral.